RNAcentral lists this microRNA precursor (73 nucleotides) under Tursiops truncatus (common bottlenose dolphin). RNAcentral describes it as "miRNA (ENSTTRG00000021668.1)". The record is from RNAcentral. Lineage: Eukaryota; Metazoa; Chordata; Mammalia; Artiodactyla; Delphinidae.
GUGUGUGUGUGUGUGUGUGUGUGUGUGUGUGUGUGCGCGCGCACACACACACACACACACACACCCCACAUCA